AUCCAGCUGACGAGUCCCGAAUAGGAUGAAACGCGCGUUUUGGAC
Molecule: non-coding RNA, 45 nt
Organism: Schistosoma mattheei
Lineage: Eukaryota; Metazoa; Platyhelminthes; Trematoda; Strigeidida; Schistosomatidae
Source: Rfam